Molecule: ribosomal RNA, 118 nt
Filed under: Bemisia tabaci
Lineage: Eukaryota; Metazoa; Arthropoda; Insecta; Hemiptera; Aleyrodidae
Source: RNAcentral
GUCAACGGCCAUACCACGUUGAAAUCACCGGUUCUCGUCCGAUCACUGAAGUUAAACAACUUCGGGCGUAGUUAGUACUUAGUGGGAGCCCGCUUGGGAACUCUGCGUGCUGUUGACU